CCCUGGAGUUUGAAUUCUCAGAAGUAAGGUGUCAGAUUCCAACCCUUUCAUAUCCCCCAGGGCCACAAUUUUAGAGACAAAAUAUGCUUAGCUUCUGGGGUAGAUGUGAGAUUUAGCCACGGUUCAGUGCGUUUGAACACGCAUGCCUAUACGUCGCUGUGGCCUGGCUUCCUCUGAAGAGGAUCUCACCUUAGCUCCCAGAGGUGAGUUAACUGGACGUAAAACAGACAGGUGCAAGAAGACAGUCAUUCAUGGCGGCAUGAAAAUACAUUUUGUCUAACGUCACCUUUAAGUCAUGACAGAAUAUGAGAGGAAAUCAGAGGGACCAUGCUGUCGUCCUGGGUGCAAAAUAAAAGUCGAGUUUCGUGGGUCCUGGCCAUUUCUAGGACCAGUUAUAUUUUUGAUGAAGCCACAUUGGAUGUUAAGUAAAGUACGCUCUUUGCCUGUUUCUGGGUAAUGGAUCUGGAGGGAUUGGAAUACAUUUUUUGUAUUUUUUCAAAAUAUUACAAUGGGCAUGAUAAUUUUUAGCAAGAAUCAGUGAAGUAAUUAAAAUAAAAACAUUUUAUGCUUUAUGCUUUUCUAGAAAUUGCCAUUUUGUUUGUCAACCCUGUGAUUUAAUAACUCAAUGCUUGAAUGCUGCUGCGUGAUAAUGAGGGAAAAAUGGGAAUAGGAGACAUGUUUGCCGUUGGGUGUGGAGUGCAAAAACACAAUUGUGAUUUGGCCAAAGAACAGCUCACUAGCAAAUAUCUACCUCCAGGGAAAACCGAGUUCACUUGCUCUAGCAAAGCUGGCUUCAUGGACUGAUGGGAAGAUUAAGUGGUUAAUUUCCAUAAAGUCUGGAAGAGUGCCUGGCGUAGCUUAGGCACAUCAAUCAAUGUAAGUUAUGCUUGUGGUUAUUAAAAUAUUGACAUAAAAAUGAGAGUAUGCAUUCAAUGUCCUCUUUAUUUUUAAUCUUUCGGUGUCUAAAAUAAUGACAUAUUGCCAGUAAUAAAUUCAGCAUGAACACUUACUACAGCCACUAUUUAAAUUCAUGAUAUCAGUUACAUAAAUAUUUUUGCGUUUUCACUUAGUACGGUCUUUUCAUUUACUAAAUACCUCUCUGGAAUUAUAUUUAUGAUUUGAUAUUUCUGUUAUGAGGAAGAAGUUGUGGAGGUCAGUGUAGGGCAGUUAAGAGAAGGACUCUGAGACAGAACACUGAUGAUAAGCCUGGGCCACCCAGGCAAGGAUUUUCCAUUACUUUUGGACCAGUCCACUGGCAAUAGCAUUGCUUUGGCAACUCUGAGGUGACAUCACUUUGUCUCUUGUUCUCUGGGUUUUCCUCUUGACAUUUAUUAGGGCAGUGGACUUCUGCUCGACAUCAUCUUGAAAGUCUAGGCUUGUUAUAUUGUGUCAUAAAUAAAUAUAACUGCUAUUUCCAGAAAACAGAGACACAGUCAGUUCAAAAUUAGAAAUUGAAUGGAAGCUCCAUGGAGAACCAGUGAGAUGUCGCCAUGAUGUAAAAUUUGGAAGGACAGAUCCAGCCACAGGGAGACAAAGUAUGUGUGAGAGCAAAGGAGCCGCUGGUUCCUGAAGUCAGGGUUGCAAUCUUUGGGGAAAUGUGUGGGUGGAUCCGGGCAAGGUGAUGGAACUGGGAGACCUGGCUAGGUGAGUGGGAGACUCUCUUAGAGCCGUGCAGUUUGAUGGAAGGGGGCGUGGGGCACGAGGCGGUGGACAGAGGGCAGGAUUGGGAGCACCUGGGGCUGCUACAUGGAAUGCUGGCUCUGUGCCAUCUACCACCUGUGACCGUUUUCCAUCUCUAAACCCAGAUCUGUCAUCUUGCAAGGCCCCUGUCACCAGCACAUGCCGCAAGGUCAUGGCCCCUGCCCUCCCGCAGAGGCUGAGAUGGAGAUGCAGAGCCCCCCGUCUGCUCAGAAGAAGGACGCAGAACAUGACUUGCUUUGAUGAUUUCCAAUAAACUUCCUCGCUGACUUUCCUCUCAUCUCUUCCCCUCCCUCCUUCAUUGUGUCCUUUCUCAGUUGAAAGCAGGAAAGGCAGGCAGGGAGGGGUCUUCAUGUGGGGCCCUGGGAGGUGGCCAGUCAGGGGUCAGGGAGGCAUUUGCUUUUGAGUUGGAGACUGAUGCUCACUGGAAAACUUGCCUUUGACUCUCGUCAGAACUCUUCACAGGGCUCCAGUGGGUGCGGGUGAAGGGGCCUCCUGGGGGAAAGUAAGGGAGCACAGAGCAAAUUACCCAAACACCACACCUGCAGAUGCACUCUAUCCCUCAGCCAGCCUCAUUCCUGCCCAAGGUAACAGAGCCAGCAGGUCCUCAUCACGGUGCCAUGGGGACGUCCGCUCUCCUGCCCACCCCCACGCAGGUGCUGUGUGUCCCAAGUCCACCCUCUUCACCCUGGGAUGAAAGAAAGGCAUGCAGGAAAUUCAAGGGGCCAGCUGGCUCUGAGGCAUCAUUGCUGGACACUGUUUUUAUAACAACCACUGAGCGAGAUGGUUGAACGCCGCAUGCACAGAACUCCACCGGCUGAAUGGUCUGUGGGCUGGGAUUUGCAUUCAAGUUCCAUUUCCUCACAGGAACGGGUGAACUGAGUUUCAUAAUCCAAGGCGACCUUCUCAAGGAAGCUAUUGCCUUUGGUGAGUAUCACCCUGAAAACAGUGCUGGGUGUUUGUCUCUCCUCUCUCGCUGCUUGGCUGGGCAAGUGCCCUUUGCCUAGAGGGAGGGAUCUGAGCCACACGGGGCUGUGAGGGACCCCAUCUCCAAAGGGCUCCAUUUACUGGGUUUUUAUACUUCUCAGAAUAUUGAUCAAACCAUAGAUUUUCUGUAGUCUCACAGCAAAGCCUGCAAUCCCACCGGCAACCGCGUGACAACCUCAAGCCAGUCACCUUUCCAGGCCCAACAACUGUCCUGUGAAUACAGGGUGCUCACGGGAACGGCUCCAUCAGCCCCGCACGCCAGUCAGUGCCAUCUCCAAAUGGUCAUUUGGUCUCAAGUUUAGCUUCUGUCUUAAUGUCUAUGGUUUUGGCUGAAGUCAUAUGGUGUUAUUGAAGCCGAGAACAAAAUCAGCAGAUUUCAUCUGACAUUAUUGCAUAUGGGUUCAUGAGGUUUUGUGGUUUCUUCAUCAAACAUGUAGUUAAAUGUUAUGAAACGGAACCAUAACAACCUUGUCCAGGAAAAAUCUAUGUGUCUAUUGAGGCACCAAAUGUGCUUUCAAGCUGAAUGGUUGGCAGGGCUGGAGAAGAUUAGCCUAGAGUUUAGUAAACCUGCCCAGGUGAACCACUGAAUCUUGCAAUUAAGUUGCUUCUAAUGACUUCACAUUUGGGAACAAAAAUAAACUUUAAAAAGAGAACUAGUACAAAAAAAACAGUGUCCUUCUGACUAUUCUAACGCCCCAGAGGUCAGAUGUUGAAUUGCAGCUUUGACCAAUUUCCAUGGGAGAAUUGCACAUUUAAAAAAAUAAACUUUUCUUCAAAGCUAGUGAGGCAGAGGGAGACACCUUCAUCUCCCUCCCGCCCUUCUUAGCUCCUCCAGGGCUGGCCAUCCUGUCUGCAACGCGGAUUCUUCUGCAUUUACACAUGUGAUAUUUACAGUGAAUGAAAGCUUUAUACUCAUUAUUCAUAAUAAUAAUAUCAAGUGCCUCUUAGUUCCAGGAACUGUUUCUCUUCAUUGCCCCCCUCUUUAAGUUAACAUGCAGGGAAAGAAAGAAAGAAAAGAAAAAGAAAAAGAUUUCUACCAGAUACGAAGCUACAGUGAGAAGGGUUCUGCCAGCAGCCACGUUCCUCAGCCCAACUCAUUAAUUCUGUGCCCCUGAGUCACAGCCGCCGGACAGAGCAGAAUCUCUCCCUGGAGGCAUUUCUAUGCCAGUGAGAAGGACAGUGGCACCAAACACGCAGAGUGCACAGUCACUGGUGAAGGUGACACUCACCAGAGGUUUGUGGCCUUUGCACCUGGAAGAUCAGAGCUUCUCUCUCUGAGAUGAGCUGACACAGCAUGCCAGGCAGAGACAGCCUCGGAAGUCUGGAGGUCCUGAGACUCCCCUGGAAGGAGGACACAGAAAUGAGGUGCACUCACCCUCCUGGGGCCAGGUUGCACGCACAAGCUGGAGACUCCAACCUCACGGAGCUGCCCCUCCAGUGGAAAGAGGCAGGAGCCACACCACCCACAGGUGGAUAAGUAAUCUCGGAUAGCGCCAGGGGCUGCAAUGGAAAUUAAAAUGGAAACAGGACCAGCAGCCAUGGGGCUGGGCAGCCCAGUGUUUUUAGGCAGAGGGGUGAGGAGGCAGCCUGGGGCUGAUGCCUGGAUCUGAAGAAGGAGUGAGCUGUGUGAGAUUUAGAGAGUCAUGCCAAGUGGAGGGAACAGCAGACUCAG
This 4357-nucleotide long non-coding RNA is filed under the name Homo sapiens (human). RNAcentral describes it as "HSALNT0338613". Lineage: Eukaryota; Metazoa; Chordata; Mammalia; Primates; Hominidae. The record is from RNAcentral.